This 1038-nucleotide ribosomal RNA is filed under the name Rosellinia necatrix. RNAcentral describes it as "partial large subunit ribosomal RNA". It matches the Rfam family "Eukaryotic large subunit ribosomal RNA", at positions 46 to 1115 of the family's 3401-position model. The record is from RNAcentral. Lineage: Eukaryota; Fungi; Ascomycota; Sordariomycetes; Xylariales; Xylariaceae.
UCCUGCGGAGGAGAACCAACAGGGAUUGCCUCAGUAACGGCGAGUGAAGCGGCAACAGCUCAAAUUUGAAAUCUGGCCCUCGGGUCCGAGUUGUAAUUUGUAGAGGAUGCUUUUGGCGCGGUGCCUUCCGAGUUCCCUGGAACGGGACGCCUUAGAGGGUGAGAGCCCCGUACGGUUGGACACCAAGCCUCUGUAAAGCUCCUUCGACGAGUCGAGUAGUUUGGGAAUGCUGCUCUAAAUGGGAGGUAAAUUUCUUCUAAAGCUAAAUAUUGGCCAGAGACCGAUAGCGCACAAGUAGAGUGAUCGAAAGAUGAAAAGCACUUUGAAAAGAGGGUUAAAUAGCACGUGAAAUUGUUGAAAGGGAAGCGUUUGCGACCAGACCUUUUCCUGGCGGAUCAUCCGGUGUUCUCACCGGUGCACUUCGCCAGGUCGAGGCCAGCAUCGGUUUCCGCGGGGGGAUAAAAGCUCUGGGAACGUAGCUCCUCCGGGAGUGUUAUAGCCCUCUGCACAAUACCCCCGCGGGGACCGAGGACCGCGCUCUAAGCAAGGAUGCUGGCGUAAUGGUUGUCAACGACCCGUCUUGAAACACGGACCAAGGAGUCGAACAUUUGUGCGAGUGUUUGGGUGUCAAACCCUCACGCGUAAUGAAGGUGAACGUAGGUGAGAGCCCUUACGGGUGCAUCAUCGACCGAUCCUGAUGUCUUCGGAUGGAUUUGAGUAAGAGCAUAACUGUUCGGACCCGAAAGAUGGUGAACUAUGCGUGGAUAGGGUGAAGCCAGAGGAAACUCUGGUGGAGGCUCGCAGCGGUUCUGACGUGCAAAUCGAUCGUCAAAUCUGCGCAUGGGGGCGAAAGACUUAUCGAACCAUCUAGUAGCUGGUUACCGCCGAAGUUUCCCUCAGAUAGCAGUGUUGUUCUUCAGUUUUAUGAGGUAAAGCGAAUGAUUAGGGACUCGGGGGCGCUUUUUUGCCUUCAUCCAUUCUCAAACUUUAAAUAUGUAAGAAGCCCUUGUUACUUAAUUGAACGUGGGCAUUCGAAUG